RNAcentral lists this ribosomal RNA (387 nucleotides) under uncultured bacterium. RNAcentral describes it as "bacterial SSU rRNA". It matches the Rfam family "Bacterial small subunit ribosomal RNA", at positions 28 to 417 of the family's 1533-position model. The record is from RNAcentral.
GACGAACGCUGGCGGCGUGCUUAACACAUGCAAGUCGAGCGGUAAGGCCCUUCGGGGUACGACGAGCGGCGAACGGGUGAGUAACACGUGGGUGACCUGCCUCUAGCUCUGGGAUAAGCCUGGGAAACUGGGUCUAAUACCGGAUAUGACUCCACGGCGCAUGUUGUGGGGUGGAAAGCCUUGUGUGGCUAGAGAUGGGCCCGCGGCCUAUCAGCUUGUUGGUGGGGUGANGGCCUACCAAGGCGACGACGGGUAGCCGGCCUGAGAGGGCGACCGGCCACACUGGGACUGAGACACGGCCCAGACUCCUACGGGAGGCAGCAGUGGGGAAUCUUGCGCAAUGGGCGAAAGCCUGACGCAGCGACGCCGCGUGAGGGAUGACGGCCU